This is a long non-coding RNA of Rhagoletis pomonella (apple maggot), 221 nucleotides long. RefSeq lists it as uncharacterized. Lineage: Eukaryota; Metazoa; Arthropoda; Insecta; Diptera; Tephritidae. The record is from RefSeq and is a predicted model, not a curated record. The transcript is spliced from 3 exons.
ACCGCAAAUAGACACCUCUAUCUAAAUAGAAAAGGCUUUUUUAGUAUAAAUGCUAUGAUUGCUUGCGAUCAUGACAUGAAUAUCCGGUUUGUGGAUGCUAGAUAUGCUGGUUCUACACAUGAUUCGUUCGUGUGGAACAAUAGUUCAUUAAAGACUUAUUUGGAGAAUAUGCAUCAAAGUGGCGAUCAUAACUCUAUUUAUUUAGGUGAUUCCGGAUACCC